This 398-nucleotide ribosomal RNA is filed under the name uncultured bacterium. Its description in RNAcentral is "bacterial SSU rRNA". It matches the Rfam family "Bacterial small subunit ribosomal RNA", at positions 356 to 773 of the family's 1533-position model. The record is from RNAcentral.
GGGGAAUAUUGCACAAUGGAGGAAACUCUGAUGCAGCGACGCCGCGUGAGGGAAGAAGGUCUUCGGAUUGUAAACCUCUGUCUUCAGGGACGAUAAUGACGGUACCUGAGGAGGAAGCACCGGCUAACUACGUGCAGCAGCCGCGGUAAAACGUAGGGUGCAAGCGUUGUCCGGAAUUACUGGGUGUAAAGGGAGCGCAGGCGGGAAGGUAAGUUGGAUGUUUAAUCUACGGGCUCAACCCGUAUCAGCAUUCAAAACUAUUUUUCUUGAGUAGUGCAGAGGUAGGCGGAAUUCCCGGUGUAGCGGUGAAAUGCGUAGAGAUUAGGAAGAACACCAGUGGCGAAGGCGACUUUCUGGACAAUAACUGACGCUGAGGCUCGAAAGCGUGGGGAGCGAAC